UCUACUCAGUGCUUUGGAUGUCAAAUUGAAGAAAUUCAACCAAGUGUGGGUAAAUGGUGGGAGUAACUAUGACUCUCUUAAGGUAGCCAAAUGCCUCGUCAUCUAAUUAGUGACAUGCAUGAAUGGAUUAACGUGAUUCCUACUAUCCCUGUCUACUAUCCAGCGAAACCACAGCCCAGGGAACGGGCUUGGAAAAAUCAAUGGGGAAAGAAGACCCUCUUGAGCUUAACUCUACUCCGACUUUGUGAAAUGACUUGAGAGGUGUUGUAUAAGUGGGAGCCGAAAGCCAAAAGUGAAAUUCCACUAAUUUUAACAUUAUUUUACUUAUUCCGUGUAUCUGAAGCAGGGCACUGUCCCUCUUUUUAGACCCAAGGCUCGCUCUUCGGGUCGAUCCAGGUGGAAGACAUUGUCAGGUGGGGAGUUUGGUUGGGGCGGCAUAUCUUUUAAAAGAUAACGCAGGUGUCCUAAGAUGAUCUCAAAGAUAAUAGAAAUAUCGUGUGGAAUAGAAAGGUAAGAGCUCGUUUGAUUCUAAUUUCUAGUACGAAUACGAACCAUGAAAGUGUCGCCUAACAAUCCUUUAGACCUUCGAAAUUUAAAGCUAUAGGUGUCAAAAAAGUGUUACCACAGGGAUAACUGGCCUGUUUCAGCCAAGCGUUCAUAGCGACGUUGCUUGUUCAUCCUUUGAUGUCGGCUCGUCCUAUCAUUAUGAAGCAGAAUUCACCAAGUGUUGGAAUGUUCACCAACCAAUAGAGAACAUGAGCUGGGUUUAGACCGUCGUGAGACAGGUUAGUUUUACCCUACUUGUGACAGUGUCGCAGUAGUAAUUCAACCUAGUACGAGAAGAAACGUUGAUUCACAUAAUUUGUAAUCGCACUAGGUUGAAAAUCCAGUGGUGCAAAGCUACCAUGUGCUAGAUUAUGACUGAACGCCUCUAAGUCAGAAUCCGG
RNAcentral lists this ribosomal RNA (947 nucleotides) under Capsicum annuum. RNAcentral's name for it is "eukaryotic LSU rRNA". It matches the Rfam family "Eukaryotic large subunit ribosomal RNA", at positions 2197 to 3145 of the family's 3401-position model. The record is from RNAcentral. Lineage: Eukaryota; Viridiplantae; Streptophyta; Magnoliopsida; Solanales; Solanaceae.